RNAcentral lists this ribosomal RNA (264 nucleotides) under uncultured archaeon. Its description in RNAcentral is "partial 16S ribosomal RNA". It matches the Rfam family "Archaeal small subunit ribosomal RNA", at positions 717 to 982 of the family's 1478-position model. The record is from RNAcentral.
AGUCACUGACAUUAGAUACCCGUGUAGUCCAGGGUGUAAACGCUGCAGACUUGGUGUUGGAGGCCCUUUGGGGGCAUUCAGUGCCGGAGAGAAGUUGUUAAGUCUGCUACUUGGGGAGUACGUCCGCAAGGAUGAAACUUAAAGGAAUUGGCGGGGGAGCACCGCAACGGGAGGAGCGUGCGGUUUAAUUGGAUUCAACACCGUAAACUCACCAGGGAAGACUGUUACAUGAAAGUCAGGUUGAUGACCUUACUAGAUUUUCAG